Molecule: long non-coding RNA, 203 nt
Filed under: Mytilus galloprovincialis (Mediterranean mussel)
Lineage: Eukaryota; Metazoa; Mollusca; Bivalvia; Mytilida; Mytilidae
Source: RNAcentral
GCGGGAAGUAUCAAGUUCGCAGUCACGUCCGGUCAGAAGGGGGACGUUAAAUCUGAUGCCUCGUCUAAAGAGAGUGCCACGCUCUUUGCACGUUGAGAACCCUUGCAACAACUCUUUGAGGGGUCUGUAGGUUGCCUGCUGCAAGGCAAAAUUUCUGUCAUUAUCCAAUAUACCCCCAUGUUCAAGUGGCAGUUCAAAUUUAC